Molecule: transfer RNA, 77 nt
Filed under: Acidobacteriota bacterium
Lineage: Bacteria; Pseudomonadati; Acidobacteriota
Also listed under: 1 other name
Description: tRNA-Arg
Rfam family: tRNA
About the family: Transfer RNA (tRNA) molecules are approximately 80 nucleotides in length. Their secondary structure includes four short double-helical elements and three loops (D, anti-codon, and T loops).
Source: RNAcentral
GCGCCAAUAGCUCAGUAGGAUAGAGCAGGGGACUUCUAAUCCCAAGGUCGGGGGUUCGAAUCCCUCUUGGCGCACCA